Molecule: ribosomal RNA, 253 nt
Filed under: uncultured bacterium
Lineage: Bacteria
Description: partial 16S ribosomal RNA
Rfam family: Bacterial small subunit ribosomal RNA
Source: RNAcentral
UACGGAGGGUGCAAGCGUUGUCCGGAUUUAUUGGGUUUAAAGGGUGCGUAGGCGGCCUCUUAAGUCAGUGGUGAAAGCCCGCGGCUCAACCGCGGAACUGCCAUUGAUACUGGGAGGCUUGAGUACAGACGAGGUUGGCGGAAUGGACUGAGUAGCGGUGAAAUGCAUAGAUACAGUCCAGAACCCCGAUUGCGAAGGCAGCUGACUAGGCUGUUACUGACGCUGAGGCACGAAAGCGUGGGGAGCGAACAGG